Molecule: ribosomal RNA, 253 nt
Filed under: uncultured bacterium
Lineage: Bacteria
Description: partial 16S ribosomal RNA
Rfam family: Bacterial small subunit ribosomal RNA
Source: RNAcentral
UACGUAGGGGGCUAGCGUUGUCCGGAAUCAUUGGGCGUAAAGAGCGCGUAGGCGGCCCGGUAAGUCCGCUGUAAAAGUCCAGGGCUCAACCCUGGAAAGCCGGUGGAUACUGUCGGGCUCGAGUCCGGAAGAGGCGAGUGGAAUUCCUGGUGUAGCGGUGGAAUGCGCAGAUAUCAGGAGGAACACCGGUGGCGAAGGCGGCCUACUGGGCCAGCACUGACGCUGAGGCGCGAAAGCUCGGGGAGCGAACGGG